Molecule: ribosomal RNA, 554 nt
Filed under: Thorelliola ensifera
Lineage: Eukaryota; Metazoa; Arthropoda; Arachnida; Araneae; Salticidae
Description: partial 16S ribosomal RNA
Rfam family: Bacterial large subunit ribosomal RNA (bases 169-462)
Source: RNAcentral
UUGAUAGUAAAAUCUGCUCAAUGAAAAUUAAAUAGCCGCAAUUUGUGCUAAGGUAGCAUAAUCAUUUGUCUUUUAAAUGAAGACUAGAACAAAAGAUUUAACUUUUUCAUCUAUUUAUUUAAUUUAAAUUUCAAAACUAUUUUAAGUGUAAAAAAACACUUAUAUAACAAAUAGACGACAAGACCCUAUUGAACUUAACUUAAGUUAAACUGGGGAAGUAAAUUAAUUAUAAUUUUAAUUUUAAAACUUUAAAAAAAAUCUAACUAAUUAAUAAUUCAGUUACCAUAGGGAUAACAGCGCAAUCAUAUUUUAAAGUUCUUAUACAAAAUAUAGCUUACGACCUCGAUGUUGAAUUAAUAACCUAAUUAUAAGCAAAUUUAUAUAAAGGAAGUCUGUUCGACUUUUAAAAAGUUACAUGAUUUGAGUUCAGACCGGUAUAAGCCAGGUCGGUUUCUAUCUUUUAGAAAAAUUAUUACAGUACGAAAGGACCUAAUAAAUUAAUUAAAUUAAUUUAUUAGCAAAUAAAUGCAUUAGAAUUAGAAUCUAAAAAAACU